This 1667-nucleotide ribosomal RNA is filed under the name Eurypharynx pelecanoides (pelican eel). RNAcentral's name for it is "16S rRNA". It matches the Rfam family "Bacterial large subunit ribosomal RNA". Lineage: Eukaryota; Metazoa; Chordata; Actinopteri; Anguilliformes; Eurypharyngidae. The record is from RNAcentral.
GCGAAACGGCUAGCCCAACUAACAUAAACAAGUAACCACUAUAAAUCAAAAAAUAAAACUAAACUAAAACAUUCUCCCACCUAAGUAUAGGCGAUAGAAAAGGAACUAAGAGCGAUAAAGAAGUACCGCAAGGGAAAGUUGAAAAAGAAAUUAAAUAAACACCAAAAGCAACAUAAAGCAGAGAUUAAAUCUCGUACCUUUUGCAUCAUGAUUUAGCAAGUACAAUCAAGCAAAGAGAACUGUAGUUUGAAACCCCGAAACUAGACGAGCUACUCCGGGGCAGCCAAUAAUUGGGCGAACCCGUCUCUGUUGCAAAAGAGUGGGAAGACCCCCGAGUAGAGGUGAUAGACCUAUCGAGCCUAGUGAUAGCUGGUUGCUUAAAAAAUGGAUAUCAGUUCAGCCUUAAUUAAUCCUAUAAUUACAUCAUAUACACAUAAAAUAAUAGAGAAACUUAAGAGUUAGUCAAGGGGGGUACAGCCCCCUUGAAAAAGAAUACAACCUUUAUAGGAGGACAAAGAUCAUAAAUUAAAAAAUAUACACCCAGUGGGCCCAAAAGCAGCCACCUAUAAAGAAAGCGUCAAAGCUCCGUAUAGAACAAAUUGCAAUCACGAUAAAUUCUCUUUAUCCCCAAAAAAUAUUAAGCUACUCCAUUUCACAUGGAAAAAAUAAUGCUAAAAUUAGUAACUAGAAGGCCAUGACCCUCUCCCAGCACUUGUGUAAGUCAGAACGGAACAACCACUGACAAUUAACAGCCCCAGAAGAGAGUAAAACAACAAACACCAUAACGCAAGAAAAUACUGUCAAAACCACAAACUGUUAACCCGACACAGGAGUGCAUCUAAGGAAAGACAAAAAGGAGAAGAAGGAACUCGGCAAACACAAACCCCGCCUGUUUACCAAAAACACCGCCUCUUGCAACAACAAAGUAUAAGAGGUCCCGCCUGCCCAGUGACCCGUUUCAACGGCCGCGGUAUUAUGACCGUGCUAAGGUAGCACAAUCACUUGUCUUUUAAAUAAAGACCUGUAUGAAUGGCACAACGAGGGAUUAACUGUCUCCUUCCCCCAGUCAAUGAAAUUGAUCUGCCCGUGCAGAAGCGAGCAUAAACACAUAAGACGAAAAGACCCUAUGGAGCUUUAGACAAAGUCAACAUGCCUAAAAAACCCCAAAUGACCCAACAGAACAAAAUGUUUAUUAAACCCAACAUGUCAUUGACUAAUGUCUUCGGUUGGGGCGACCAUGGGGGAAAAGAAAGCCCCCACACAGACAAGGAUAAACUCCUAAACCAAGAAAAACACUUCUAAGCAACAGAAAAUCUGACACAAGAUCCGGGUGCAAUGAACCCGAUCAAUGAACCAAGUUACCCUAGGGAUAACAGCGCUAUCCUUUCCCAGAGCCCAUAUCGACGAAAGGGUUUACGACCUCGAUGUUGGAUCAGGACAUCCUAAUGGUGCAGCCGCUAUUAAGGGUUCGUUUGUUCAACGAUUAAUAGUCCUACGUGAUCUGAGUUCAGACCGGAGUAAUCCAGGUCGGUUUCUAUCUAUGUCUACCCACCCCCAGUACGAAAGGGCCGGAGUGGGGGGGCCCCUACUAAAAGCAAGCCCUACCUUCACCUGUUGAAAUCAAAAGAAACAGAUAAUUAGACACCUACACAGCCAUAGAUAAUGGU